UGCAACGCGCAGAACCUUACCAGCCCUUGACAUGGGAAGUAUGGAAUGGGGAGACCUGUUCCUUCAGUUCGGCUGGCUUCCACACAGGUGCUGCAUGGCUGUCGUCAGCUCGUGUCGUGAGAUGUUGGGUUAAGUCCCGCAACGAGCGCAACCCUCACCUUCAGUUGCCAUCAGAGUUAAGCUGGGCACUCUGAAGGAACUGCCGGUGACAAGCCGGAGGAAGGCGGGGAUGACGUCAAGUCCUCAUGGCCCUUACGGGCUGGGCUACACACGUGCUACGAUGGCGGUGACAAUGGGAUGCAAAGGGGCGACCCCGAGCCGAUCCUAAAAAGCCGUCUCAGUUCAGAUUGCACUCUGCAACUCGGGUGCAUGAAGGUGGAAUCGCUAGUAAUCGUGGAUCAGCAUGCCACGGUGAAUACGUUCCCGGGCCUUGUACACACCGCCCGUCACACCAUGGGAGUUGGUUUUACCUUAAGCCGGUGCGCUAACCGCAAGGAGGCAGCCGUCCACGGUAAGGUCAGCGACUGGGGUGAAGUCGUCGUAACAAGGUAGCCGUAA
This 558-nucleotide ribosomal RNA is filed under the name uncultured bacterium. RNAcentral describes it as "bacterial SSU rRNA". It matches the Rfam family "Bacterial small subunit ribosomal RNA", at positions 955 to 1505 of the family's 1533-position model. The record is from RNAcentral.